CUACACAUGCAGUCGAGCGGAUGACGGGAGCUUGCUCCUUGAUUCAGCGGCGGACGGGUGAGUAAUGCCUAGGAAUCUGCCUGGUAGUGGGGGACAACGUUUCGAAAGGAACGCUAAUACCGCAUACGUCCUACGGGAGAAAGCAGGGGACCUUCGGGCCUUGCGCUAUCAGAUGAGCCUAGGUCGGAUUAGCUAGUUGGUGGGGUAAUGGCUCACCAAGGCGACGAUCCGUAACUGGUCUGAGAGGAUGAUCAGUCACACUGGAACUGAGACACGGUCCAGACUCCUACGGGAGGCAGCAGUGGGGAAUAUUGGACAAUGGGCGAAAGCCUGAUCCAGCCAUGCCGCGUGUGUGAAGAAGGUCUUCGGAUUGUAAAGCACUUUAAGUUGGGAGGAAGGGCAGUAAGUUAAUACCUUGCUGUUUUGACGUUACCGACAGAAUAAGCACCGGCUAACUCUGUGCCAGCAGCCGCGGUAAUACAGAGGGUGCAAGCGUUAAUCGGAAUUACUGGGCGUAAAGCGCGCGUAGGUGGUUCGUUAAGUUGGAUGUGAAGCCCCGGGCUCAACC
This 568-nucleotide ribosomal RNA is filed under the name bacterium amp-w-57. RNAcentral's name for it is "bacterial SSU rRNA". It matches the Rfam family "Bacterial small subunit ribosomal RNA", at positions 49 to 614 of the family's 1533-position model. The record is from RNAcentral.